AACACGCUCCUUAGAUCCACCUCUGGAGGAUGCUGUUCUCUGAGCAGUGCUCCUCAGCAGCUUGCUGGCUGUACAGUUGGAGGUGCUUGAGUCAUUGGCGUGUGAGAACAGUCUACCUGUCCUUCAGCCCACCCGCAGCACUGGCAACCCUGUCCUCUACAGGCAGGGAGCUCCUGGUGCUGCAAGCCUGGGGGACAGACAUG
Molecule: small nucleolar RNA, 203 nt
Filed under: Gasterosteus aculeatus (three-spined stickleback)
Lineage: Eukaryota; Metazoa; Chordata; Actinopteri; Perciformes; Gasterosteidae
Also listed under: 1 other name
Description: Small nucleolar RNA SNORA53 (ENSGACG00005014424.1, ENSGACG00015013072.1)
Rfam family: Small nucleolar RNA SNORA53
About the family: The snoRNA ACA53 belongs to the H/ACA family of pseudouridylation guide snoRNAs.
Source: RNAcentral